GGCGAAGUAGCUCAGCUGGCUAGAGCGUUCGGUUCAUACCCGAAAGGUCGGGGGUUCGAUCCCCUCCUUCGCUACCA
Molecule: transfer RNA, 77 nt
Filed under: Bacilli bacterium
Lineage: Bacteria; Bacillati; Bacillota; Bacilli
Also listed under: 1 other name
Description: tRNA-Met
Rfam family: tRNA
About the family: Transfer RNA (tRNA) molecules are approximately 80 nucleotides in length. Their secondary structure includes four short double-helical elements and three loops (D, anti-codon, and T loops).
Source: RNAcentral